This 1085-nucleotide unclassified non-coding RNA is filed under the name Pyricularia oryzae. RNAcentral describes it as "sequence contains ITS1, 5.8S rRNA gene, ITS2". The stretch from base 636 to 788 matches the Rfam family "5.8S ribosomal RNA". The record is from RNAcentral. Lineage: Eukaryota; Fungi; Ascomycota; Sordariomycetes; Magnaporthales; Pyriculariaceae.
GGCCCCGCCCGCCGCCGCACGGAUGCGGGGGCACGCACACAAAACGGGGGGUUCGCGGCUGGAGCACGCCGGGACGAUCCGAACGAGGUUCGCGUUUUACCGCGUUUUACUGCGCUCAGUGUACCGACGAGCCCGCCGAUGAACUUGGGGGCCCCGGGCCGCGGAGGGCCCGAGGCGCCCCAACAACAAGCCGAGGCUUGAGGGAAGAAAUGACGCAACGAACAGGCACGCCCGCCAGAACACCGGCGGGCGCGACGGGCGGGCAAAGACGCGAAGAAGCACAGAAACAGCAAACACAGGACUAGGGCAGGGCGCGGCGUCCCCCAACGAAGCCAAAACCAAAAGAGCCGAAGAAGAAAGUUACGAAAGACGACCAACAAGACAAGAGAAACAGAAAAAAAGAAUAGACCCCAACCGGCGGCAGCCGCCGAAGCAGCAACAACAGAAGAGAGAACACGGAGGAGGAAGGAAAAACAGCAGAGAAAAAACAAAACGACAGCCUGCGGAAGGAUCAUUACUGAGUUGAAAAACUCCACCCUGUGAACAUAACCUCUGUCGUUGCUUCGGCGGGCAGCCCGCCGGAGGUUCAAACUCUUAUUUUUUCAGUAUCUCUGAGCCUGAAAGACAAAUAAUCAAAACUUUCACAACGGAUCUCUUGGUUCUGGCAUCGAUGAAGAACGCAGCGAAAUGCGAUAAGUAAUGUGAAUUGCAAAAUUCAAGAAAUCAUCAAUCUUUAAACGCACAUUGCGCCCGCCGGUAUUCCGGCGGGCAUGCCUGUUUCAGCGUCAUUUCACUCAGCUCGCUUGGUUGUUGGGGCGGCCCGGGCCCUCCCGCCGGGGCCCCAAGUCAUCGGCGGGUCGUCGGUAACUUAAGCAAUAAAACCCGGUAAAACGAAACCAUUUGGAAGAACCGGGGGGUCCCCCCCCAAAACCCCCCUUUUUUUUAGGGGGGACCCCCACCCGGGGAAAAACCCCCCCAAAUUCAAAUAUAAAAGGGAAAAAAAAAAAACCACCCCCCCCCCAAAGGGUUUUGGAUCCCCACCCCAAUUUCCGAGGUUUCCAGGUUGAACCUUCGCGAAUUUGCCC